UACGUAGGGGGCUAGCGUUGUCCGGAAUCAUUGGGCGUAAAGAGCGUGUAGGCGGCCCGGCAAGUCCGCUGUGAAAGUCGGGGGCUCAACCCUCGAAUGCCGGUGGAUACUGUCGGGCUAGAGUGCGGAAGAGGCGAGUGGAAUUCCUGGUGUAGCGGUGAAAUGCGCAGAUAUCAGGAGGAACACCAAUUGCGAAGGCAGCUCGCUGGGACGCAACUGACGCUGAGACGCGAAAGCGUGGGGAGCAAACAGG
Molecule: ribosomal RNA, 253 nt
Filed under: uncultured bacterium
Lineage: Bacteria
Description: partial 16S ribosomal RNA
Rfam family: Bacterial small subunit ribosomal RNA
Source: RNAcentral